Molecule: ribosomal RNA, 379 nt
Filed under: uncultured bacterium
Lineage: Bacteria
Description: bacterial SSU rRNA
Rfam family: Bacterial small subunit ribosomal RNA
Source: RNAcentral
AUUGAACGCUGGCGGAAUGCUUUACACAUGCAAGUCGAGCGGCAGCGCGGGGGCAACCCUGGCGGCGAGCGGCGAACGGGUGAGUAACAUAUCGGAACGUACCCCGUCGUGGGGGAUAACACAGCGAAAGCUGUGCUAAUACCGCAUACGACCUGAGGGUGAAAGCGGGGGAUCGCAAGACCUCGCGCGAUGGGAGCGGCCGAUAUCGGAUUAGCUUGUUGGUGAGGUAAAGGCUCACCAAGGCGACGAUCCGUAGCUGGUCUGAGAGGACGACCAGCCACACUGGAACUGAGACACGGUCCAGACUCCUACGGGAGGCAGCAGUGGGGAAUUUUGGACAAUGGGCGCAAGCCUGAUCCAGCCAUUCCGCGUGCAGGAU